Long non-coding RNA from Numida meleagris (helmeted guineafowl), 8068 nucleotides. RefSeq lists it as uncharacterized. The record is from RefSeq and is a predicted model, not a curated record. The transcript has 3 exons. Lineage: Eukaryota; Metazoa; Chordata; Aves; Galliformes; Numididae.
CAUGGAGAGAGGCUUUAGUUGUACAGCAUAAAAUACUGAGGACUUUUCAUUGUUGGGUGGUAUUUGGACAAUAUUUAGCUACUUAAGAUAUUUUAAUUACUGUUAUUUUGUUAGGAAGUUUUUGGUAAUACCUAUUUUUAUUUUUUUUAAUGAAAUUCCUUCUUCAAAGGCUGCACAAGGCUUUGAUGUUCGCAGAGAUCAUAGCAGCUAAAGGAUCUUCCUCUUUCAAAGCAUUGCUACUGCUUUAGGUUCGCCUUCUGUAAAUCUACGUUCCCAAGAGGAAAUAUUCAGAAGUUACUUUCUGUAGGUGGGUGGCUCCCUGCAAACAUUUUGCAUUUGGCUGGAGAGACUCCCUGGUUUGAACAGCUAUUUGUUUCUUUCCUCGUUUCUCGUUUAUGAGGAAAACAUAAAAAUGCUUACUGCACUUAAAGUCAUUCUGGUAAUGCUCUAAAUUCUAUGCUUAAGGAUGCAUUUAAUUAAAGAUUGACUAUGGCAUAAAGUGUAGUUUAAUUAAAUACCAAUCAAUUUCUAUAUAAAAUACAUCUAGAAGGGCUUCGACUCAGAACAUAAAAUGAGUCUCUGAGAGGAGAUUCCCCUCUUCCACAGCUGAAAAAUGACUUCCAACUGCAUUUCCCAGUCAAAAUAGUGAAGUACCUGUAUAAAAACAGUUUGUUGAAGCAGGACCCUGACCUGAUGUUCCUACUGCUUAGAGACUUCCUAUUCAUCCUUUCCCACUGCUGCUUGGGGAUUUCCCUUUUCCAUCCAUCACUGGGAUUUCGGUCAGGUCAUCACCAUUACUUUUCUACCAAUAGCACUGUGACAUAGAGGAUGUUCAGGGCUUGGUGGGACAUUGGCCUGACCUUCUGCAGCUUCUGACAUGGGGUACAGCUGAUGUUAAUGCUGGAAUUUCAGAACGAUAUGUGGAGUUCCUGCUCUUAGAUGUUACACUGAGUCAAGGUAAAGUUUCAAUUCUGACCGAGUCUACUUCUCAAGAGGACUUAAUGUGACUGAUUUUAAGAUGCUCACUGUUCUCCAUGCUCUGUGGUACUUCAGCAAUGUUUAUAUGGUGAAAAGCAAAGUUAUCCAACUUCAGAGUAGUGCCUUAAAAGUGAAGAGAUUAAAACCAAAGGUCUUUUAGAAAAUAUUUUCAGAACUUUUUUGCUGGACGUUCUUAAGUUUAACCUAAUAAAAAUGGAGUUUAAACAUUGGUUUAUACAGGAAGAAAAUUAUUAAUACAGUUUUAAAAUAUUUUCAUUUUCAAGUACAUGCUUCCAUUAAAAUCACCAUUGUUCUUUUAUUUCCCAUAAACCUGUUUACAUCAAUGCUUUCCUUCCAAAAUCUCUUCACAUUACUGGAGCAGUGCCUCUCCCAGGGUCUCAGGGCACCUGGUGAGCAUGACAGGACCCAUUAGAAGUGUUUUUUCCAUUCUGCAGAAGGAGAAAUGAGAGCUAAAAUCAAUCUCAUCUUUGCAUUUGCUCCCUGGCACUAUGUUAGCAGAGGACCAGCUUGACAUGCCUCUGCAUCACUGGAUUGGAGCCAGCAAAGAGAGAAGCUUGCAGAGGUGAAGGCCCUCAAACCCAAGAACUCUGCAUUACUUUGUGUUGGUGCUGUGUCUGAUGCAUGCAUAUGAGGUGUGGGUUGCAGAAAUGAAGUUACCAGUUAAUUGUUCUCCUUGCUGAAAGGCCUGGGUUAGUUGGUGUCAUUACACUAAUUUUUGUACUGUCUUAGUGACCUUCAUAUCAUAUUAACAAUUUUAUAUUAUGUUAGCAAAUUGCUCAGCGAGAGCUGCUAGUCUGAUUGCAUUCUGAAGGUCAUUAAUAUGAUAUGAAAAUCUUAUUGUAUUCUCUGCUUUCAUAUUUUAUUAGUGAUAUGGAAAGCAAUAAAGAGGCUGAUUUUUGCUGGGAGGUUCCCCGGGGAAAGAGGCUCUACAGCAGUGGUGUCCCACAUUGGCUCCUAAUCCAAUCUCAAUGGGAAGUUCAAUUUCCUCAUCAUUAAUUAUUUAGCUGUAUUUAACUGCUGUAAAUUCUCAGAUUAAUUUUUUUAACUGUUGAGUUUGAUGACCUCUAAAGACAUUGGCAUUAACCAAUGCAAUAUGAAAUAUAGUGGCUUAAUGCAAAUAGAAGCUAACUUUUCCACGAGGAUUUGUGUGAAUGCAUAAUAAUGGCAAAUUUAAUUUUUCUGCUAUAACAGUGAAGGCUUAUUGCAUUACCACCUUUGGUGCAAUUUGGCAUCACAAAAUGAAGAAUGGAGGCAGCUGCAGCGUUCCCUUAAGGUGAAUGUGGCUGGGCCUGGUGCUGCCAACACACAUCCAGGUCUCCCAUCAGUGAUCUUGAGUCACUCAGGUCUUGGUUUGGAUUCCUAAAAAUUUUAGUUCCCACGUAAUGUAGAGCAAUGAAGUCCUCACAUGUGUAGUGAUGGGUUAAAUUGUCUUCAGUCUCCUGAAAGAGCCAAAGGUGAGGGCAAUAAUCUUUGAGCAGUUUUCAUUAACAACAAAACUUUAAUCUUGAAGAAAGUUUGAAACAGUGAAGACUUGAUAGAAAAGAAAGGUCAUCGCUUGCAAAGACAAACGAUUUUUGAAGUUAACAACAUGCUGUAUUAAAAUUACUUCAGUCAAAACGAUAAAAGUUUGUUAUUAACAAUGACAGUAGCUUGUUUUGUGCUUUAACAGUGUUGUGGCUCCUUAAUUACCGGACUGAUGGUGGAGAGGAAACUCCUCUGGUGGCUGUCGUGCACGAGAGUUUGUAGGAGUUGUGCCAACUGAUAAAAGCUGAAUGUCUACAAGAUGAGAUUUUUCUUUUCGACAUACAAGUCCUGCCCAAGCAUUUUCUUCCAAAAACACGUUGCCAGUGUGUCAGAGCCAGGACAUGGGCAAGUUGUACAUUUAAUUGUUAAAUGUUCUGAUGACUUGUGUGAGAGUGAAACCAGACUUAUUAUGUCCAAAUGCUGCUUUGUAACAUGAUUUUGCCAAACAGUGCAUUUCUGUGUUUGAUUUUAACUUUUUUUUCUCUGCCACCAUAUAAGACCAUUCCAAGUUCUUUGGCUUCAGUGACAUAACAGCAGCAACCUCAGCAUAUGGAAUGUGCUUGCAAAACUAAUUUGGAAUUGAUUCACUUGGUAGAAGCUUCAGGACAGUUAGACUGGAGUGUCCUGCAGCCUUGUGGAAAUCCCAUUGGCUUUCUCCAUUGUUCUGCACGGUGCUGGAACACGGCGCUUUGGUGCACAGCAAACAAAACACAUGGUACACCUGAUGAGUAUCAGUACUGAGGGAGAUGCUCUGUAUUUAUAGCAAGGGAUGCUGUGCCUGCUUGAACUAUGGAGAAACAAAACCUAAAUGAAAUUUCCUAGCUUGAUGAAAAUUUGAGCAAGGAUUGAGUUAUAAAACCCCAAACCUGAUCAAUGUACUUUUAGGUACAUCUUGAUGCGGAGCGUGUGUCAUCCACGAAUCUGCAUUAUUAUUGUUGCUUUGCAGUGCUGCUGGCCGUGCUGCAGGUGGCGAUGCUGCACCAGAACUGUACCGAGCUCCAGAAAAUCAAGAAUUUUGCAAAAAUUCUUUCUGCCUUUCGUACAGGAGAUAGGAACGCAUCCAGCAUGGUACCGGUUAAUAUUGUCUUAGACGAUGGUUUGGGAAUACCAAUGGGAGAAAUCGGACAACUGUGUGUAGCCAUGAGCAGUCAGCUGGAGACAUUUGGACACUUGAAAGAUCCUCAAAAACUGCUUUUGGAGGACCUUGAGCCCGUGCUGCAAGGAGUGAGCAUCUCCAGGAGAGCUUUCCUCUUGCUGGCACAAAUCGCUGCACCCUGAGCUCCCAUGUGUCGCCGGCUCUGCUGGGCUGCCCCUGUUCUCUGCUCCCACUCCGCUGCUUUGACUGAGCCCUAAAAUCUGAUCUGGCUUGGAAUGGGCUAUGCCAGGAAGCAAAUACAAAAAGCAGGUCCAGUCAUUCAAGCAUGCUCCAUGUCAACCAUCCUCCCUGCAUGGAGGACAACCACAAAACUGAGUUCCAGCUGAAGCUUUUGGAGAAGAAUACAAGUACAGCUUAAAAUGCGUAGUAUCUUUGUGUAGUAAUUCCUAUGAUUUCUACUUCCACAGGAAUUGUGGCAUGUACAUGUACCUGCUCAUGUGUUUGUGAUAAGGGUGACCUUGCUGGCCAAGGGGUCAGUGCUACACUUUUUGGGAUGCAGACUGGUCUGGGGGCCUUGUGGCUGAUUUCUUGUCUUUAGGAGGCAAAUCUUCUACAACUAAACUCCAGCCUUUCACCUCUGAGGAAGCUUAUCGCUUUCGAGAAUUUCUAAAAUCACUUUAUAUAGUUAGUUUCAUGAUUAACAAUGUCAAAACGCUCAGGGAGAGAGAGAGACAAUAAACAUGAAAGCAUCAAAAGAUGGUUUUUGAAGCUAAUGUAAUUAUGUGUGUUCCACAUAUUGUGUGGAACUCCUUGUUUCAAGAGGUCAGCAGAGUUUAAAACUACGGGAGAAGCCAAAGAAAGAUUAGGCACAGAUUUGAGUCAUUAAUAUUUUCUUAUUUCCAUGAGGAUGUAAUGUAUUUAUGGCUGCAUUUGAAAAAAAAGUCACUAUAGCUUAGUACCAAAGCCAAGGCUACAGCAUCUGUAUUCCCUGGUACCUUUGCUUUCAGAAGUUUCUUGGUCACAGUACCAAGACCUCAACUCCACCAUUCAAUGAGAAGGAGUAAGGAUAUUACUGUUAUUUACAAUUCUUGAUAUAGCUCAUAGUCCCUUGCCAGCUUUCUUCCUGCAAUGCUCACUUGAGCCUGAAUGAUCUCUUCUUGUCAAGAAACCAGAUUAGUUUUUAUAGUUUUAGGUUAUGCACCAUUUAGGGACAUAUGGGAGAGCUGUCUUCAGCCUCAGAGAUAAUGCUACAUCAGACAUGUUUAAAUCUCCUUCCUUGAAGCAACUGUACCUUGUGUACACAACCUACCACUGCACAGAUGUUGUGGACAAGCACUGAUGGCUGUAUAUAUGUUGGCUGUAUUCUGCAUUGGUUCUGCUGUUCUCAGUAGCCAUUUAACACCACUCCAAAAGGACUCAGUAUAUGGUGCAAAAUAACAUGUGCGUUUGGUUCCCACUUUGGUACGUGGUUGUUCUUCUGUGGUCCCAAACGUUUCCUUCCAAGGGUGACCCUGAGAGAAGGAAGACUGGCUCUUUCUCCAUCUUUUGGUGAUGUGACAAUUCCCUAACUUCCAACACUUUUUAAAAAGCCUCAAAGACAUUUGAUGAUAGAUAGACAUAAGCUAGCCUUUCCCAUCAUAUCCAUCUCCUGUUAAACCAUGAGCAGCUGCUAUACGAGCACCCACGUGACAGAGGUUUUAGGAAUAUCAGUGACAGAAUAUUUGCAGAUUUAUUUUCUCUGCCAUUGCAGCAGAAAAUCCUCAGUCAUGUGAAUUUCUCCUCUAGCUGUUUAUCUGCGUGGUCCUUGGAGUGGGAGAACUCGGACUGCAGGGAACGAGGCGUGUUGGCUGCCGGCCUUCAGGAGGUACCAAUGGUAAAAGAGGGAAAUCCUUGGCUUUUUGGUCAACAGUGCGUGAGUUUGGAGGGUGGAGGGCUGAAAGCCAUAGAAUUUGUAUUGCUUUUGUGAGAAAGAUAUGGGCAUGAGAAACAGGCUGAUUUCAUGGACUUCUAGCCCAGCUGAACUCCAUUUUAAUAUCUGUAAAGAAAUUUAAACCCAGAUUAACCUCAACCAGACUCAGAUUUCAUUGUGAACAUUUUUUACAGCUGUUCAGAGUUUUCUGCUGUUCCAAAGAACAAUUAAUUCUGGUAUCAAUAAUUUGUUUCUUCAAAGAGUUUAUCCAGAUGGUUAUCGAGACAGUUUAUAUUUCCAUAAUUGAAAUCGUAUUUGACUGCUGUUGAACCCUCGGUAUUUUUUUUGGUUUGUGGGUACUUUUCCCUACUGCAUUACUUAGUCUAUAUUUGUCAGUCUAAGCAGUCGCUGGUCUCAUUUCAUAGCUGGAGAUCCGGCACCGCUGCUUUGAGCAUGCACGACGUGCGGUGUCGCGGUCCGGAUCCCGCUUUGUGCUCCUACCUCCUGGAGAUGCCCCCGUGAAAAGAAAGGAAAUUGCUUUUGGAUAACAUCGCUAUCCUGUCCCAGCUGGCAUUGGCUGGUGCAGAUAUGUGUUUACAUUUUGCUUUGAAAAUGUAAACACUAAUUAGGCAUUAAUAGGUCCCGGUUCUGGCAGGCAGGAGGCAGGGCUCUGCUUGGGGCUCUGCCCUGGCUGCAGUCCAUGUCACCCCGUUCGCUAUCUGUGUUUCCUGGCACAAAAUGGGGAUAAUUGUUUAUCCCUUUCCAAAGAGGGAGGGAAGGGACACCGGUGUGGGUCACCUAAGGACGACAUAUGUGAAAAGAACCGAACUGUCACAUCAGCACUGUGAUAGGAUGGGAGCAGUUUGUAGUUCUGUAGUGCCAUAGGAUGAGUGCAAGAGGUAUCUGGCAGCUUUGGCCAGCAGAUGCAACUCAGCAUCUAGUCCUGCUGUGGUCCAGAUUUCAGUUCUAAUUUGCUAUGUAAAAUAUUUUGUUAUUCUUGUUCCUAAUGUAUUCCCUUUUUGUGUACCACUGUGCAAUGAAACGGUCACUGUGGUGCUGCUGCCGGCCCUGGCGUGGUUUUUCCCAUGGCCAUUUUGGGUCUUUGGGUGCAGCUUUUGCAUUUCCUUCACAGGCCCGCCAGAGCAACCAGCAGCCGUUCUAAUUAGGCGAACGUAAUUCCUCGCGAACCGGCCCUUCUCCUUUGUGAGCCCAUAGAUCUGCAGAAAGAAUAAAAGAGCACUGAUUGCCUCCUCCUUGCAGCCCUUCCACUGAUGAGGAGUGUUGCUACACCUAAUAAAUUAAAGGACACAAAGUUAAUGAAUUUUUCAUUUGAACUCGCAGCUAGGUAUGGAUUAGCGAGGCUGACGUUACUGAAGAGCUCAGAAUGAGGAAGGGUCCUACAGGGACAUUUUCCUCCUUACUGAAAUCUUUUCAGUCACCUUUUCAAGUAUUAUCUUGCUCUGUAGAAAGAGCUCUUUUAACCGUGCAUAGCCUGUGGGGUCUGCUUUCUGUCCGCAGCAGAAAUGUGAUCAUUCAUUUUGUUUGUCUAAUGGAUAAAAAUAAAGGGCAAUGUGAAUGACGUUCAGGCAGCCCCUCUGCUGAAAGAGAAGGGAUUCAGAGGAUCUGGAGCAGCACUCUGGAGCAGGCCUUUAUUAGGCAUAAAUGCUCCCAAUUCCUUUAAGUUCCAGUGUACAACAUUUACACCAGCUGAAGGUUUCCUUUCUUCUCCCUUGGGCAGUGGGGUGAGCUGCAGAAGGCUUGGGCUUAGAAUAAAACUACAAUCAAUUUAUUAAAAAAAAAAAAGUUAGAUGAAUGUCAAAGGACCUGUAUUAUUUGGAAUUAUUUUCCUGCAGUCCAUAAAUUUCAAAGGAUUUCAGCUACUUUAAUGUAAACUGAUUUCUGUCUGAGGCUUCUGAGUGGUAGAUUCAGUGAGAACCAGCACGUGUGCUUCCCUCCCAGCAGCUUUGCAUUCUUCUGUUUAGGGUACAAAUUAUGUCCUUUGGUUUUAAUGCUUGCUUGCUGUUUGAUGCUCUGAAAUAGUUUAAUUAAAAGGGAGAAUCAAAACCAAAGCAAAAACAAAGGAAAAUGCAAAGAACUGGAGCCCAGUCUUGGGAAACUCAUAACGUUCAGUUGGAAUUUGGAUACCAAAUGCUUUCCUAACCUGUAAAGCAGUGUCACAUUUCAAUUCAGCUGGCAGGUAUUACCCUCUCUCCUUCACCCCAACAAAUUAUUUUCUGGUCUAUCAGCAAGUAUUUAAAAAAUAAAAGAAUUGGUGGUGAACAGUUAUUGUGCCAUUGGACUUGGCUACGCUUGCACCAGGUGUCACGUGAGGGAAUUCAAAAGACUGGUGAGGGUGGAGGGAAGCAGGCCUAGGGAUGAAUGGAGAGAAGGAAAUAGUUUUUUACAAAAAAGGUGGUGAGGCUCUGGAAUGGGUUGGCUGCAGAGCUGGUGGGUGUGCACCUGAUGGAGGUGUCCCUGCUCACAGCAGGGGACUUGCUGUAGGUGACCUUUCAGUGUCCUUCCAACUCAAACGAUUCUAU